GGCAGUUCUUGGUUGACGCACCCCAGAAUCAGGCUCCCUCCUCUUUGUUCCAGGUGUGUCACCCAAGAACCACA
Molecule: non-coding RNA, 74 nt
Organism: Myotis davidii
Lineage: Eukaryota; Metazoa; Chordata; Mammalia; Chiroptera; Vespertilionidae
Source: Rfam